RNAcentral lists this transfer RNA (75 nucleotides) under Armatimonadota bacterium. RNAcentral's name for it is "Armatimonadetes bacterium (groundwater metagenome) tRNA-Glu". It matches the Rfam family "tRNA". From Rfam's summary of the family: Transfer RNA (tRNA) molecules are approximately 80 nucleotides in length. Their secondary structure includes four short double-helical elements and three loops (D, anti-codon, and T loops). Further hydrogen bonds mediate the characteristic L-shaped molecular structure. tRNAs have two regions of fundamental functional importance: the anti-codon, which is responsible for specific mRNA codon recognition, and the 3' end, to which the tRNAs corresponding amino acid is attached (by aminoacyl-tRNA synthetases). tRNAs cope with the degeneracy of the genetic code in two manners: having more than one tRNA (with a specific anti-codon) for a particular amino acid; and 'wobble' base-pairing, i.e. permitting non-standard base-pairing at the 3rd anti-codon position. Lineage: Bacteria; Bacillati; Armatimonadota. The record is from RNAcentral.
GCCCCGUUCGUCCAGAGGUCAGGACACAAGAUUUUCAUUCUUGUAACAGGGGUUCGAUUCCCCUACGGGGUACCA